Molecule: ribosomal RNA, 1379 nt
Filed under: uncultured prokaryote
Description: partial 16S ribosomal RNA
Rfam family: Bacterial small subunit ribosomal RNA
Source: RNAcentral
AUGCAAGUCGAACGGUAACAGCAGAGCUUGCUCUGGCUGACGAGUGGCGCACGGGUGAGUAAUAUAUAGUUAAUGUACCUUCAAGACCGGGAUAGCCAUUGGAAACGAUGAUUAAUACUGGAUAUACCUGUUUAUCAUAAGAUAGAUAGGGAAACGUUUUUCGCUUGAAGAUCAGACUAUAUCCCAUCAGUUAGUUGGUAGUGUAAGAGACUACCAAGGCAAUGACGGGUAGCGGGUUUGAGAGGAUGAUCCGCCACACUGGUACUGAGACACGGACCAGACUCCUACGGGAGGCAGCAGUGAGGAAUAUUGCACAAUGGAGGAAACUCUGAUGCAGCAACGCCGCGUGGAGGAUGACGCAUUUCGGUGUGUAAACUCCUUUUAUAAGAGAAGAUAAUGACGGUAUCUUAUGAAUAAGCACCGGCUAACUCCGUGCCAGCAGCCGCGGUAAUACGGAGGGUGCAAGCGUUACUCGGAAUCACUGGGCGUAAAGAACACGUAGGCGGAUUUUUAAGUCUUGAGUGAAAUCCUAUGGCUCAACCAUAGAACUGCUUGAGAAACUGAAAAUCUAGAAUCUGGAAGAGGUAGAUGGAAUUAGUAGUGUAGGGGUAAAAUCCGUAGAUAUUACUAGGAAUACCAAAAGCGAAGGCAAUCUACUGGGACAGUAUUGACGCUGUGGUGUGAAAGCGUGGGGAGCAAACAGGAUUAGAUACCCUGGUAGUCCACGCCCUAAACGAUGAAUGCUAGUCGUCGGGAGGCUUAAGUCCUCGGUGAUGCACUUAACAGAUUAAGCAUUCCGCCUGGGGAGUACGGUCGCAAGAUUAAAACUCAAAGGAAUAGACGGGGACCCGCACAAGUGGUGGAGCAUGUGGUUUAAUUCGACUAUACGCGAAAAACCUUACCUAGCCUUGACAUUGAUAGAAUUUCGCAGAGAUGUAGAAGUGCCCUUCGGGGAACUUGAAAACAGGUGCUGCACGGCUGUCGUCAGCUCGUGUCGUGAGAUGUUGGGUUAAGUCCCGCAACGAGCGCAACCCUCGUCUUAGUUGCCAGCAGGUUAAGCUGGGCACUCUAAAGAGACUGCCUUCGCAAGGAGGAGGAAGGUGAGGACGACGUCAAGUCAUCAUGGCCCUUAUGGCUAGGGCUACACACGUGCUACAAUGGGGCGUACAGAGUGUUGCGAUACCGCGAGGUGGAGCCAAUCACUUAAAGCGUCUCUCAGUUCGGAUUGGAGUCUGCAACUCGACUCCAUGAAGCUGGAAUCACUAGUAAUCGUAGAUCAGCAAUGCUACGGUGAAUACGUUCCCGGGUCUUGUACUCACCUCCCGUCACACCAUGGGAGUUGAUUUCGCCCGAAGCGGGGAUGCUAAACUGGCUACCCU